Molecule: ribosomal RNA, 694 nt
Filed under: uncultured bacterium
Lineage: Bacteria
Description: bacterial SSU rRNA
Rfam family: Bacterial small subunit ribosomal RNA
Source: RNAcentral
UAACGCGUGGGCAACCUGCCUUACACAGGGGGAUAACAGUUAGAAAUGACUGCUAAUACCGCAUAAGACCACAUUGCCGCAUGGCAGGGUGGUAAAAACUCCGGUGGUGUAAGAUGGGCCCGCGUCUGAUUAGGUAGUUGGCAGGGUAGAGGCCUACCAAGCCUACGAUCAGUAGCCGGCCUGAGAGGGUGGACGGCCACAUUGGGACUGAGACACGGCCCAAACUCCUACGGGAGGCAGCAGUGGGGAAUAUUGCACAAUGGGGGAAACCCUGAUGCAGCGGCGCCGCGUGAGUGAGGAAGUAUUUCGGUAUGUAAAGCUCUAUCAGCAGGGAAGAAAAUGACGGUACCUGACUAAGAAGCCCCGGCUAACUACGUGCCAGCAGCCGCGGUAAUACGUAGGGGGCAAGCGUUAUCCGGAUUUACUGGGUGUAAAGGGAGCGUAGACGGAGGAGCAAGUCUGAUGUGAAAAUCCGGGGCCCAACCCCGGAACUGCAUUGGGAACUGUUUAUCUAGAGUGUCGGAGAGGCAAGUGGAAUUCCUAGUGUAGCGGUGAAAUGCGUAGAUAUUAGGAGGAACACCAGUGGCGAAGGCGGCUUGCUGGACGAUGACUGACGUUGAGGCUCGAAAGCGUGGGGAGCAAACAGGAUUAGAUACCCUGGUAGUCCACGCCGUAAACGAUGACUACUAGGUGU